This 390-nucleotide unclassified non-coding RNA is filed under the name soil metagenome. Its description in RNAcentral is "partial contains 5.8S ribosomal RNA, internal transcribed spacer 2, and large subunit ribosomal RNA". The stretch from base 1 to 122 matches the Rfam family "5.8S ribosomal RNA", at positions 35 to 154 of the family's 154-position model. The record is from RNAcentral.
GAUGAAGAACGUAGUGAAAUGCGAUACUUGGUGUGAAUUGCAGAAUCCCGUGAACCAUCGAGUCUUUGAACGCAAGUUGCGCCCGAAGCCAUUAGGCCGAGGGCACGCCUGCCUGGGCGUCACACGUCGUUGCCCCCCCAUCUACUCCUUCGGGAUUGCGGGGGGCGGAUGAUGGCCUCCCGUGCACCUUGUCGCGCGGUUGGCAUAAAUGCCAAGUCCUCGGCGACGCACGCCACGACAAUCGGUGGUUGCGAAACCUCGGUUGCCCGUCGUGUGCGGUCGUCGCGCAUCGAGGGCUCGAAAAAAUUGUCGGGCUCCGGCUCGGCUUUCAACGCGACCCCAGGUCAGGCGGGGUUACCCGCUGAAUUUAAGCAUAUCAAUAACGGAGGA